Molecule: ribosomal RNA, 312 nt
Filed under: Brassicaceae environmental sample
Lineage: Eukaryota; Viridiplantae; Streptophyta; Magnoliopsida; Brassicales; Brassicaceae
Description: eukaryotic LSU rRNA
Rfam family: 5.8S ribosomal RNA (bases 1-84)
Source: RNAcentral
UGCAGAAUCCCGUGAACCAUCGAGUCUUUGAACGCAAGUUGCGCCCCAAGCCUUCUGGCCGAGGGCACGUCUGCCUGGGUGUCACAAAUCGUCGUCCCCCAAUCCUCAUGAGGAUAUGGGACGGAAGCUGGUCUCCCGUGUUGUACCGAACGCGGUUGGCCAAAAUCCGAGCUAAGGACGCCAGGAGCGUCUCGACAUGCGGUGGUGAAUUCAAGCCUCUUGAUUUUGUCGGUCGCUCUUGUCCGGAAGCUCUUGAUGACCCAAAGUCCUCAAUGCGACCCCAGGUCAGGCGGGAUCACCCGCUGAGUUUAA